RNAcentral lists this ribosomal RNA (492 nucleotides) under uncultured bacterium. RNAcentral describes it as "partial 16S ribosomal RNA". It matches the Rfam family "Bacterial small subunit ribosomal RNA", at positions 30 to 507 of the family's 1533-position model. The record is from RNAcentral.
AGUGAACGCUGGCGGUAGGCCUAACACAUGCAAGUCGAACGGCAGCACAGUAAGAGCUUGCUCUUACGGGUGGCGAGUGGCGGACGGGUGAGGAAUACAUCGGAAUCUACUUUUUCGUGGGGGAUAACGUAGGGAAACUUACGCUAAUACCGCAUACGACCUACGGGUGAAAGCAGGGGAUCUUCGGACCUUGCGCGAUUGAAUGAGCCGAUGUCGGAUUAGCUAGUUGGCGGGGUAAAGGCCCACCAAGGCGACGAUCCGUAGCUGGUCUGAGAGGAUGAAAGGCCACAGGGGAACUGAGACACGGUCCAGCCUAUUAGGGGAGGGAGCAGUGGGGAAGUUUGGACAAGGGGCGAAGGCCUGAUCCAGCAAUCCCGGGGGGGGGAAGAAGGCUUUGGGUUUGGAAAGCCUUUUUGUGGGGAAAAAAAAGAAGCGUGUUAAUACCCCGUUGUUCUGAGGGUACCAAAAAAAAAGGCCCCGGCUAGCUUGGUG